UACGUAGGAUGCGAGCGUUAUCCGGAUUUAUUGGGUUUAAAGGGUGCGUAGGCGGGAUGCCAAGUCAGCGGUAAAAAUGCGGUGCUCAACGCCGUCGAGCCGUUGAAACUGGCGUUCUUGAGUGGGCGAGAGGUAUGCGGAAUGCGUGGUGUAGCGGUGAAAUGCAUAGAUAUCACGCAGAACUCCGAUUGCGAAGGCAGCAUACCGGCGCCCUACUGACGCUGAGGCACGAAAGCGUGGGUAUCGAACAGG
Molecule: ribosomal RNA, 252 nt
Filed under: uncultured bacterium
Lineage: Bacteria
Description: partial 16S ribosomal RNA
Rfam family: Bacterial small subunit ribosomal RNA
Source: RNAcentral